AUUGAACGCUGGCGGCAUGCCUUACACAUGCAAGUCGAACGGCAGCAUAGGAGCUUGCUCCUGAUGGCGAGUGGCGAACGGGUGAGUAAUAUAUUGGAACGUGCCCUAGAGUGGGGGAUAACUAGUCGAAAGACUAGCUAAUACCGCAUACGAUCUACGGAUGAAAGUGGGGGAUCGCAAGACCUCAUGCCCCUGGAGCGGCCGAUAUCUGAUUAGCUAGUUGGUGGGGUAAAAGCUCACCAAGGCGACGACCAGUAGCUGGUCUGAGAGGACGACCAGCCACACUGGGACUGAGACACGGCCCAGACUCCUACGGGAGGCAGCAGUGGGGAAUUUUGGACAAUGGGGGCAACCCUGAUCCAGCAAUGCCGCGUGAGUGAAGAAGGCCUUCGGGUUGUAAAGCUCUUUUUUCAGGGAAGAAACGGUUCUGGAUAAUACCUGGGACUAAUGACGGUACCUGAAGAAUAAGCACCGGCUAACUACGUGCCAGCAGCCGCCGUAA
RNAcentral lists this ribosomal RNA (502 nucleotides) under uncultured bacterium. Its description in RNAcentral is "partial 16S ribosomal RNA". It matches the Rfam family "Bacterial small subunit ribosomal RNA", at positions 30 to 523 of the family's 1533-position model. The record is from RNAcentral.